This 273-nucleotide ribosomal RNA is filed under the name uncultured bacterium. RNAcentral describes it as "partial 16S ribosomal RNA". It matches the Rfam family "Archaeal small subunit ribosomal RNA", at positions 474 to 747 of the family's 1478-position model. The record is from RNAcentral.
UACCAGCACCCCGAGUGGUCGGGACGAUUAUUGGGCCUAAAGCAUCCGUAGCCGGUUCUGCAAGUCUUCCGUUAAAUCCAGCUGCUUAACAGAUGGGCUGCGGGGGAUACUACAGAGCUAGGAGGCGGGAGAGGCAAGCGGUACUCAGUGGGUAGGGGUAAAAUCCGUUGAUCCAUUGAAGACCACCAGUGGCGAAGGCGGCUUGCCAGAACGCACUCGACGGUGAGGGAUGAAAGCUGGGGGAGCAAACCGGAUUAGAUACCCCCGUAGUCC